AAAACUCCUGCAUAGCAUCUGUCUGUGUGACAGGGGCUUCCCUGAGCAGGGACUCCUCUCAAGGUUAUACAGAUUCAGAGAUCUCUUACACCUUGAUAUCAAGAUGCCUUGCUGAUACAGAACCGUGACCUUGAGUAGGAGGAUGUCUUUGAGUGUGGAAUGAGUACAGACUACACGUAGGAGGCCUAAAGGACUACAUCUUUGAAGAACUACGCGUAGAUUCAUGAAAUGUUUCAGAAGCUAUUGCAAACCCUACUAUUUAGGGUACCAAGGAGUGAAAUAGCUGCGCACCGCAUAGGUUAACCUAGAGUACUGAAGAGUUCGGUCUAAGUAUCAAGAAACUUUUCUGCAAAACUCUCUGCUAGGGAAUUGUGAGGCCUUUGCCCCAAAGAGCUGUCAGGUCUCACAUCUUUACACUGAACAGGGGCAGUCCUCUGGUCACCAGCCAGUCACCAGGUGCUCUCAGCAGCACAUGCUGGGCCAUUCACAAACUUCAUAUGUUUGUUCCCACACCCUCCAUCAAAGAUGCUCUGGGGGUUACAGCUGUGCUUUGGGUAAUCACAGUCUUUGGCGUAGUCAAAAUAGGAAUGCUCAGCUUCAUUUUUACUAAUGCAGCUCAUUUUAUCCUGCCAGUUUGUAACCAAAGUUGCAUUUGAGUUUUGCAGACUCAGCCCAUGCCCUCUUAUAAACAAACCAAGCAGAUUUUAUCAAUGGUAUCAGCAGGGACAUUUCAUUUAGUUGGGAAAAGUUCUGUUAAAACUAAGACACUUAAACAAUUAUCUGUCUUGAAAAUCAUUUUAAAAGCCUUCAUAUUUUAGAGUUUUUUUUAAACUGAAUUUACUGCAGCUGUUAUUUUCAUUAUUAUUGAUAUUAUAAUUGAUACCAUUUCUUUUCUGGGAUUACAUAUUUGGAUUUGCUGUCAUACACUGAUCAGCAGCCAUAAAAUAGAGUUAACAUCUUAGUAAACAUCUCAGGUUUAAGCAAAGAAUCUUGCAGAGUAUUCCCACUGCUUGGGGAUGAAAUAUUAGGUACAUUCAGUUUUCUUUUGCAGAUGUUUCUCUCUCCCUGUAUAGGUCAGGGACAUCAAAAACAGUGUCUGUGUGUGUAAAACUUAUGGCUGUUAUCUCGUUAUUAAACUGGAAGUCUGCACC
This 1151-nucleotide long non-coding RNA is filed under the name Gallus gallus (chicken). RNAcentral describes it as "lncRNA (ENSGALG00010017249.1)". Lineage: Eukaryota; Metazoa; Chordata; Aves; Galliformes; Phasianidae. The record is from RNAcentral.